Oreochromis aureus is the source of this 1495-nucleotide long non-coding RNA. The record is from Ensembl. Lineage: Eukaryota; Metazoa; Chordata; Actinopteri; Cichliformes; Cichlidae.
CAAGAUUUAAAUGCGGCAGUGUGAGAUUAAAAAAAUAAAAUGAAAUGUUCGUACAGCAUAUGAGGCGGGAAGAUUCUUGUCUAAAGGAUUUAUAAGGAUAAAAAGGAAGUUGAACUAAGACUAACAGUUUUAGAGAGUACAUAGUUCCGCCUACAUCCAUGUGCUGCUUUCUUUUCUGACUUCUAAAUCUUGAUGCUACUUCAUGCUAUUUGUAAACACAACAUUUUCAAACAAUAGCCCACUCCAAGGAGUUUACAGCUCAAUAAAAACGCCCAUUUCCGUUCAUGAAAUUGUUCUUAUUACGUUAUCCCGCCUCGUUUUCAGUGGACAGGGUAAUUCAGUCGUCAUGGCUUUUUUGUUUCUUCAAAUCAGCGGGUUCUUCAGAGUGGAGCCCCCGUCUCUCCAUUUAGUGUGCUUGCUCAAAGGUCUCGCCCCCGGGUCUUCUCGUUGUCCACCGCGUGAGGGAUAUUAGACUAUUAUUCUGAUCGAGGUCGUAGCCGUGCUUGUGGUAAAACUUGAAGCAAACAAUACUGGCAGAGGGAUGUUUCCUCCAGGUCCAUUUAGCAGCCGAUGAGGAGCUUUCGGUCACGAUGGGAGCCCAGUGGUCAUCGAAGUCCUUUCAAAAUAUCCUUUCUGUCUGAUCGCUUCUGAGGCUGCUGCAGAAAAAUGAAAACACCAGAGCAGGCUCUGCAAGGAGGAGCACUGGGCCUAAUACCGGCACAAAGAAGAAGACGAGAGGUCCGACUUUUCUUCUUAAACUUUUUGGACAUAAACGCCCUCGCAGCCUCUCAGAACAGUGAUUGUGUAUUUUGUUUUUUUAAGUGAUGAAUAAAAACUUCAUUUUGUGGAUUCUGCAGCAAACUGAAGCCUUCAUGCAGUAUCAGAGGUUGGUGUGUGUACAGUAAUAACCAUGUUCUUACUUCUUGCCUUAUUCUGACAGCAUCACUCAUUGAAGGGCUGCUCUGGUUGCUCCUCAGGCUUCCAUGAAAACACUGAGACAACAGCGUGUUACUGCAUCUCUAACAAACACUUUACCUGCAGCUUUUAGGCCCGUGCACAUUUGUUAGGCUGGGGUUGUAGCUCAGUGGCACAGAGUGGCCUUUCAUAGACACACACACUGAUGGUUUUGAUUUUUAACAGUGAGUAGAUUAAAAUAAUUUGUAUUUUCACCUCACGCUUAAAAGGUUGUAAUUAAUGUAAUUAGAGAACGUUCUGAAUAAAAAUGAUCUUAACUUUCAGUUCAAAGUGGAACGAGGUUCCUGCGAUGGUUCAGCUCUGGCAGAAAUUCGUCUUUUGCCGGCUGCUGACGAUCAUGGACACACAGCAGCUAACUGAACUUCCACUGGAAUGUGGUUGGAGGGCAGAAUGUUUCAUACAGACAGGCUGUUUCUGAGUUGUGUCUUCACAAAGUUAGUUCCAAAAAUCAAACAUCAUCAUUUGUCCAUCCGGGUGAUUUUGAAGAACAACUGUAUCACCUGCAAUGCAGUGAUCUCAC